UACGGAGGGUGCGAGCGUUGUUCGGAAUUACUGGGCGUAAAGCGUGCGCAGGCGGCUUCUCAAGUCAGGGGUGAAAGCCCAGAGCUCAACUCUGGGAUUGCCUUUGAGACUGAGUGGCUUGAGUACGAGAGAGGUGAGUGGAAUUCCCAGUGUAGAGGUGAAAUUCGUAGAUAUUGGGAAGAACACCGGUGGCGAAGGCGGCUCACUGGCUCGUAACUGACGCUCAUGCACGACAGCGUGGGGAUCAAACAGG
RNAcentral lists this ribosomal RNA (253 nucleotides) under uncultured bacterium. Its description in RNAcentral is "partial 16S ribosomal RNA". It matches the Rfam family "Bacterial small subunit ribosomal RNA", at positions 524 to 776 of the family's 1533-position model. The record is from RNAcentral.